This 264-nucleotide ribosomal RNA is filed under the name uncultured bacterium. RNAcentral's name for it is "partial 16S ribosomal RNA". It matches the Rfam family "Bacterial small subunit ribosomal RNA", at positions 524 to 776 of the family's 1533-position model. The record is from RNAcentral.
UACGUAGGAGACGAUGUCGUUGUCCGGAAUCACUGGGACGUAAAGCGCGUGAUAGGCGGGAUCCGGCCAAGUCUGCUGUGCAAAGCUCCUGGCUUAACCGGGAGUGGUCGGUGGGAAACUGCCAGUCUGGAAGGACGGUAGAGGUAGGUAGAAUUCCCGGUGUAGUGGUGAAAUGCGUAGAGAUCGGGAGGAAUACCUGUGGCGAAGGCGGCCUACUGGGGCCGGACCUGACGCUGAGACGCGAAGGCGUGGGGAGCGAACGGG